UACGGGGGGGGCAAGCGUUGUUCGGAAUUACUGGGCGUAAAGGGCUCGUAGGUGGCCAACUAAGUCAGACGUGAAAUCCCUCGGCUUAACCGGGGAACUGCGUCUGAUACUGGAUGGCUUGAGUUCGGGAGAGGGAUGCGGAAUUCCAGGUGUAGCAGUGAAAUGCGUAGAUAUCGUGAGGAACACCAGAGGCGAAGGCGGUUACCUGGACAAUUACUGACGCUCAGGCACGAAAGCAUGGGGAGCAAAAGGG
Molecule: ribosomal RNA, 253 nt
Filed under: uncultured bacterium
Lineage: Bacteria
Description: partial 16S ribosomal RNA
Rfam family: Bacterial small subunit ribosomal RNA
Source: RNAcentral